Molecule: RNA transcript, 2947 nt
Organism: Cornus florida
Lineage: Eukaryota; Viridiplantae; Streptophyta; Magnoliopsida; Cornales; Cornaceae
Exons: 17
Source: RefSeq, a predicted model, not a curated record
GAACCCAACCCAAAACCAAAAUAAAAAAAAAAAAUAUCUCCUCUCUAUUCUUUCUCUCUCUCUCUGCCGCCGUCCCCACCGCCGCCGUCCCUCUGCUGCCGCCACCGUCGCCGUCCCCUCAGCCGCUGAUCCGCCGCCGCUUCCAAAAAUUAAAACAAAACCCAUACAUACAAGUUAGCAGUUGCAGAGAGAGAGGGGGGCAAGCAAGAGAGUUGAGAGACAGCCGCUGAAGCUUGCGAACGGCGAACCCGAACUGGAAAGGCGGGGGAUGGAAACUGAAGGAUAUGGGUUUUGAUUUUUUGAAAAAUCUGAAAUGAUAUGCCGAUAUGGGUUUUGAAAUAGGUGAUGUUUGCAGAAAUUUGAAGGUCCAGGGAUAUUUUUCUGGCAAAUUGCGCUGUAUAAUACACCCACAAUAUAUAUAUAUAUAUAUAUAUAUAUAUAUAUAUAUAUAUAUGAGCUGUGACUGCGGUUUUGGAAAUCUGCAGCAAUGGGAGUCUUAAAAGACGGGUCUAUUUCGGGAGUAUUACCCAGUACAGAGGCCUUUGCAAUUCACUAUCCUGGUUACCCUUCAUCUACAGCCCGUGCUGUUGAGACUCUUGGCGGAACUGAAGGAAUUCUCAAGGCUCGAAGCUUGCAGUCAAACAAGUUGGAGCUCUAUUUCCGUCCCGAAGAUCCUUAUUCACACCCUACUUUUGGGGAGCUUUCUCCCUGUAAUAAUUUUCUGUUAAAAAUUUCCAGAAAGAAAGAUAGGGAUGGUCAAAAUGCUGACGACUCUAACAGGAUACCAAAAUGUUUAUCAUCAAAUGCCAUUAAUCAUGAGAAAAAGAUGUGCCAUUCUGAAGUAGUGAAAACUGGGGAACAAGUAAGUCAACCUGAUAGUGGAUUGAUUGCUGCUUCUGCAGAAUCUCAAGCACAUGUACCUGAAGACGAGGAACAAGAUCUUCAUGCUGACAUUAUUGCUCGAGUGUCAGAUGCCUAUCAUUUUAAUGGAAUGGCAGAUUACCAACAUGUUCUUGCUGUUCAUGCGGAUGCUGCCCGAAAAAGGAAGAGAAAUUGGGCAGAUAUGGAACCACAAUUUGAGAGGAGUGGUUUAAUGAAUGUGGAUCUGGAAGACUUAAUGAUUCUAGUGCCGCCACUUUUCUCGCCAAAAGAUGUGCCAGAGAAAAUAGUGUUAAAACCAUCAGCUAGUCUGAGCUCAAAGAAGAAACAAGAGGGAGUUGUACAAAAUCGUUGGGAGAUGGAUAUAGAGCCAUGUCUUGCCAUAGACUUUAAUAUCAAAGAGAUACCCAAAAAAAUAAAUUUGGAGAAAUACAUUUCCCAAGACUCAGAACAAUGGGAGUGGCAGAUGACUGUAUGUAAGUUGUUUGACGAGCGUCCUAUAUGGAUAAAAAAUUCACUGGCUCAACGUUUGCUUGACAAAGGUCUGAAAUUUGGAGAUCAUAUGCUCAGAAGGCUUCUCUUCAGAACAGCAUAUUACUUCUCAAACGGGCCAUUCCUUCGUUUCUGGAUCAAGAAAGGAUAUGAUCCACGCAGAGAUCCUGAAUCUCGCAUAUAUCAAAGAAUUGAUUUUCGAGUACCACCAUCAUUGCGAAGCUAUUGCGAUGCUAACAUGGCCGCUGGGUUAAAGCAUAGAUGGGACGAUAUAAGUAGAUUUCGUGUUUUUCCUUAUAAAUGCCAAAUUUCAUUACAGCUUUUUGAACUUGAAGAUGAUUACAUUCAACAAGAGAUUAGAAAACCUUCAGACCAGGAAACUUGCACUUGUGCGACAGGAUGGUUCUCCUCACGUGUGCUUGAUUGCUUGAGAUUAUGUGUCGCUACGAGAUUUCUAUCUGUAUACCCUAAAGCCGGUGCAGAAGCCUUGUUGAAAUUGGCAAUUGAACGCUUUGAAAAGUCAAAGAAGAUGAAAAUCUGUAUAAAGGACUUGAAAGCUGAUCAAGAGGGGCAACGACAAGUGAAUAAAGAAUUGGCAGGCAACGAAGACAAAGAAGACUCAAAUGAUGAAGAUGAGAUUGAAGAAGAUGAAAUUGAGGAUGAUAAUGUCGAAGAGGAAUUUGAUGCAUAUGAGGCACUUGAUCUGGCUGGUGAGGAUGACAGUUACUUCCCACAACCAUAUUCAUAUACAGACCAUGAGAACACCUCGAAGAACUACUUGCAAGAACUUUUUGGUAGUUUUCCAUCCAGUGAAACAGGUGGCAGUAAGUUGCAAGAUGCUGACGACAGUGAUGGAGAAUUCCAGAUAUAUGAACAAUACAGCAAUGAUGAUUGCUCUGAUGAUGAUGACGACUACUAACAUUCUCAAUUGGUAGCUGUAAUCUUAAAGAUAACUUUCUUCAUUACGUUAUUGGAGUGGGCCUGCGUGUGAUCGACUUGCAUGAUGCAUAACAUGUGCCAUUCUAUGUUGUAUUAGAAGUAUCAUCGUGUCCUAAACUGUUUGUAGCCUUACCAUCAAGCAUAUGCGCCUGUUUUUUUGGCAGUUGGCAGGCCUCAACUUUCACGAUUCUGUAAAUACCUCCCUCCCUCCCUCCCUCCCUCCCUCCCUCUUGGUCUUCAACUUUUAGUUUUUGCACAUAACCCCCUUGAAGUGUAAGAGAUGCUGCAAAUCACCCCCAUGCCGUGUGUGGACCAUUAUGGAAUGGAUGAAUUAGUAUCCUAUGUGAUUUUAAAUUGUAAAACUCCUAUAAUGCCCUUUUAGGUACAAUGCUGAGUUUCAAUGAAUCUGGCAGUGUUUUUCUGACCAAAAGUCUCAAUGAAAGUAGCUUUACAUGGAUAAGUGUAGCAGUUUAACCUUUAGCUACAAUUUUAGGCAUUGCUACGUAAAUUGGACAUCUAAAUAUAAAUUUUUGUCCCCAAGCUUUCGAACUGCAAUGCAAACUAUACAUUUAUUUAUUUUUAUUUCUUCUAAGUUUAGCUAUAACAUAAUGGAGUCGAAAGGGGUGUUUUACUCUUA